This is a long non-coding RNA of Solanum lycopersicum (tomato), 662 nucleotides long. RefSeq lists it as uncharacterized. NCBI's taxonomy places the organism in Eukaryota, Viridiplantae, Streptophyta, Magnoliopsida, Solanales, Solanaceae. The record is from RefSeq and is a predicted model, not a curated record.
AAUGUAAAAAUAAGAGAUAAGAUUCCUUUGUACUGUUAAUAGCUUUUACUUUUUUAAAGGAAAAUGUGUAUAGCCGGCCAUUUGUAAAGUUCUGUUUAAAAAGUCAUUAAGUAUACAGUAGGCGCACUUAUAUGCAGGUUCACAAUUUAGUAUAUAUAGAUUGCAAAAUUUUAAAUGAGAGGCAGGAAAUGCCAAACUAAAGCUUAAGUUAAUAAAAACACUUUCAAAAACCCCUCUCUCCAAAAAAGAUAAAAAAAAUAAGUUAAAAAAUGGAGAAAUCCAAAAUCAAGUCAGAUAUUUUAGAUAGCAUGGAAAAUCAAGAAACAAAGACUACUUAUCAAGAAAAAGCUACUCAAACUGAGAAUAAAGAUGAAGAUACAAUUGAACAGCUACUCAAAGCCAUUACUACACUUUGUACUAAAGUAGAUAGUAUGGAUAAUGAGAUACAAAAGCUAAAGACUAAUGAAGAUAACCUAUCAACAUGCUAUAUAUAUUAUUUCAUAAUACUCACUAUUUUAAUAUGUACAACAUAACUCAAACAAACCAAAAGACAAAAAUUCAUGUUUUAGGCAUGAAAUCCAUUGUAAUUCACUGUAAUGUGAUUCAAAAUGCACAUUUUUGCAAGACAUCACUAAAUAUCAAGAAUCUUCAAUUUGUAGUCA